This 288-nucleotide unclassified non-coding RNA is filed under the name Hevea brasiliensis (rubber tree). The record is from RNAcentral. Lineage: Eukaryota; Viridiplantae; Streptophyta; Magnoliopsida; Malpighiales; Euphorbiaceae.
CUUUGAAAAAGUUUAGACAACCAACCAUGGAAUGGAACAUAUCACCAUAACAGGAGGAACACUAAAUAUGAUCUCAUGAAUGGUAUAUAAUUUUGUGUUAUUGCUCUCAACUACCUGCAAUAAUGUAUCUUGAACUAUCAACAUUAUUAUCAUUCAGCACUAUCAACAACCCACAAUUAUUAACAUUAUCAAUAUAACCCAGGGGUAAAGACAAUCGUCAUUAUCUUCAUUACCAGAUUCUUAUGCACAAUAUGCUCAUUAUUAGAACCAAGUAAUAAUUAGGGUGGA